AGAGAGAGACAUGCGCGCAUAUCAAUAAGCGGAGGAAAAGAAACUAACUAGGAUUCCCUUAGUAACGGCGAGUGAAGCGGGAAGAGCUCAAAUUUGAAAUCUUCAAGGUUCUACCUUGACGAAUUGUAGUUUAAAGAAGUGUUUUCUGUUGGAGUUUUGGUAAAAGUUCUUUGGAAUAGGACAUCAUAGAGGGUGAGAAUCCCGUAUUUGACCAUUAUCUUCCAACUGUGUGAUACACUUUCAAAGAGUCGGAUUGUUUGGGAAUGCAGUCCAAAAUGGGUGGUAAAUUUCAUCUAAAGCUAAAUAUUGGCGAGAGACCGAUAGCGAACAAGUACCGUGAGGGAAAGAUGAAAAGAACUUUGAAAAGAGAGUUAAACAGUACGUGAAAUUGUCAAAAGGGAAGCGUUUGACACCAGUGUUGUUUUCUCGAAAAUCAAUUCAUGAUGGCUUGAUGCUAGAUUGUUAUGACUUUAUCAGCAUACUGUCUAGUUUUCUUGUCUUUGUGAAUGCACUUUUCGUUUAACAAGUCAACAUCAAUUUCUUUUGCUGUAAAAGGGUAAGAGGAAGGUGGCUUCAACUUCGGUUGAAGUGUUUAUAGCCUUUUACCUCUGCAGUCGGAGAGAUUGAGGUCUGCAGCGUAGACUCUUCGGGGUUAGAUACAUUUGUGCUAAGUUAUAGCUUUUCAUAGACAACUUGUUGACUAUGUUUAGUCUUGUAGCUUACUCGCUUAUGCUAUUUUACCUACGCUUAGGAUGUUGACAGCAGUAUAGACUGU
Molecule: ribosomal RNA, 775 nt
Filed under: uncultured Neocallimastigales
Lineage: Eukaryota; Fungi; Neocallimastigomycota; Neocallimastigomycetes; Neocallimastigales
Description: partial large subunit ribosomal RNA
Rfam family: Eukaryotic large subunit ribosomal RNA
Source: RNAcentral